CCGGCGCACGGGUGAGUAACACGUAUGCAACCUGGCCGUGACAGAUGGAUAACCGGGAGAAAUCCCGCCUAAUACAGCAUGACGCCGGGAAGGGACAUCCCUUUCCGGCCAAAGGGGGCGACUCCGGUCACGGAUGGGCAUGCGGCGCAUUAGGUAGUUGGUGGGGCAACGGCCCACCAAGCCGACGAUGCGUAGGGGUUCUGAGAGGAAGGUCCCCCACACUGGUACUGAGACACGGACCAGACUCCUACGGGAGGCAGCAG
This 263-nucleotide ribosomal RNA is filed under the name uncultured bacterium. RNAcentral describes it as "partial 16S ribosomal RNA". It matches the Rfam family "Bacterial small subunit ribosomal RNA", at positions 95 to 354 of the family's 1533-position model. The record is from RNAcentral.